GAUGAACGCUGGCGGCGUGCCUAAUACAUGCAAGUCGAGCGAACAGACGAGGCGCUUGCUCCUCUGACGUUAGCGGCGGACGUGAGAGUAACACGUGUAUAACCCACCUAUAAGACUGGGAUAACUUCGGGAAACCGGCGCUAAUACCGGAUAAUAUAUUGAACCGUAUGGUUCAAUAGUGAAAGACGGCUUUGCUGUCACUAAUAGAUGGAUCCGGGCUGCUUGGGGUAGUUGGUAGGGUAACGGCUUUCCAAGGCGAGGAUGCGUAGGCGACGUGUGAGGGUGGUCGGCCACACGGGAACUGGAACGCGGUCAAUACGCCUACGGGAGGCAGCAGUAGGGAAUCGUCCGCAGUGGGCGAAAGCCUGACGGAGCGGCGCCGAGUGUGUGAUGAAGGUGUUCGGAUCGUAAAAAUGGGUUACGGGGGAAAAACAAAUGUGUAAGUAGCUAUGCACGGCUUGACGGUACCUAAUCAGAAAGCCACGGCUAACUACGUG
This 497-nucleotide ribosomal RNA is filed under the name uncultured bacterium. RNAcentral's name for it is "partial 16S ribosomal RNA". It matches the Rfam family "Bacterial small subunit ribosomal RNA", at positions 28 to 507 of the family's 1533-position model. The record is from RNAcentral.